UAGGGUGCAAUGCAGGGGCAAAAGAGUUGAAUAGUGGGGUGAAUAAAAAUCAUACCUUUGGGCUGAAAUUUCCAUGUAAAAUUUUGCUCACAUUUCAAAUGUGAAGAAAGUAUUGUUGUUACUCUGGAUUCUGGCACAUUUCAUCUCAUUCCUGUCUAUACUUAGUUAAAUAUAUGUUUAGGUAUGGCAAUGUAUGUUUUUCAGAAUCAAAACUUCUCUGAGUUUCAGCUGUUAGCACAGAAAGUCAUAUACUUUUACAGGCCUAAAAUCAGUUUUUCCAAGUCUUGUGAAAGGAAAUGAGAUUUCUUUCUUAAAGGAAAUCUGGAUGAAUAAUGAGAUGUAGGGCUUGUGCUGAGGUGGUUGCUCAGUUGCUAAUCACAGGUGGUGAGGAGUCAAUUAAAAUUUUACCAACAGUCAAAAUCCUCAAAAUCAUUUAAUCCAUUAGAACACUUGUAAAUGUGGAUAUUGAGAUCCUUGGGCCAAGUCACAAAGAAGAGAGACAUUAUGGAAGAACACAUUCAAAAUUAUCACAGACCUUAGGGUGCUAGUUUUUGUUUUUCCAGCUAUGCGAACAACAGUGAAACCAAAUUGUGAAAUCAUCAUGAUAAACCAAGCUGAACUUUCUGUACAGGCAGAUGGGAAGCAAGAAGCCAAGGUGCUGGAGAAGAAUGUGGACAGUGCCAAGAGGUUCCCGACCUAACCUAAGCAAGAGAUUUUUUCUUUCUUUUUUUUUUUAAUUUUUAUUUUUUUUCACCUUUCCUUUUCUGGAUUGUUUUCCUCCACAGAGUUCAAAGCUGUCACUCCAGUCAGAAAUGAACACCUGGAAUUGACUGUCACUGGGAUUUAAAAUUUUCAAACACCAAAGGAAAGAGAGGGAAGAAAUUGGAAUAAGGCCAUGGUGUAAAAGAUACAUGGUAACUUCCUGAAAUGUCUAAUGAAUAUUUUCCCUGAGUACCUUGACAGUUUUGAAGUGUAAGGGGGGUUUACAACGCCAUACAAGGAUUGUUUGUUCUAGGCACAAUAAGUUUAUUAAAAUGAGGUUCUGAUUAAAAUGAAAGGGUCUGGCUCAUUUGAAAUAUUAAUUUACAACUUGAAUUCUGCAGUCUGCCUGCAAGGGUCUCCCUGCAUGAUCAGGGCUAUGCUUGUUAAGUAGGAAAGCAUUGUUGCAUGUAAAGCCAACUUUUUUGCUUUUAAUGUUGUCUGAUCUAUUUCUCUAAGCUAGCCAGGUCUGUUGAGCUUCAGGGCAAAAUGAAAAGUUUCUCUGCUAGUUGGACUAAGGAUAAGUAUAUGGUUUCUGUUGGAAGGGUGAAGGGAGAUGGAAAAAUGGGUUAUAUGGAAUAUGGGGUAGAGUUAUUUGGAGGUUAUCUUCCCUACUGAUUCUCUUACUUGUCCCUGGUACUACCACUUGAAGGAUGUCUGUCCAUUAACUUUCAUUACUGACAGCCACAGCACAAAUAGUGAGACAGGAGACCAGCUACAUAUAAAUUGGAUUGACUAUAUCAAAUAAAGAAUUUUUAUAUCAUUUCUAUGACUAACCC
This 1538-nucleotide long non-coding RNA is filed under the name Anser cygnoides (Swan goose). RNAcentral's name for it is "lncRNA (ENSACDG00005019325.1)". Lineage: Eukaryota; Metazoa; Chordata; Aves; Anseriformes; Anatidae. The record is from RNAcentral.